GGCUGGUCGGAUGGUAGUGGGUUAUCAGAACUUAUUAACAUUAGUGUCACUAAAGUUGGUAGACAACCCCCCACUGCUAACUUUGACUGGCUUAAA
Y RNA from Callithrix jacchus (white-tufted-ear marmoset), 96 nucleotides. It matches the Rfam family "Y RNA". Rfam says of the family: Y RNAs are components of the Ro ribonucleoprotein particle (Ro RNP), in association with Ro60 and La proteins. NCBI's taxonomy places the organism in Eukaryota, Metazoa, Chordata, Mammalia, Primates, Cebidae. The record is from Ensembl.